RNAcentral lists this ribosomal RNA (366 nucleotides) under uncultured Glomeromycotina. RNAcentral describes it as "LSU rRNA". Lineage: Eukaryota; Fungi; Glomeromycota. The record is from RNAcentral.
UUGAAAGGGAAACGAUUGAAGUCAGUCAUACCAACGGGAAAUCAACCUUUUGAGCUUGGUCUCGUGGGUUUUGAAGAGUUUCAAAGCCUUCGGACUCGCGGGAUUGGGAUCUCUUGGUGUACUUUCUCGUACGGUUAGUCAACAUCGGUUUUGAAUGUCAUAAAAUGACUGGAGGAAUGUAGCUUCUUGAAGUGUUAUAGCCUUUGGUAGAUGUGAUGUUUGAGACCGAGGAUUGCAACGGAUACCCUUCAGGGCUAUUCGUCUGAUCUCUGAUACGUUGCCUUGAUGUUGAAAGCUUGCUUAUGAUGUCAGGGUAUUACGGUCAAAAGGUUAGAACGAAUUACAUUCGUUAAGGAUGUUGACGUA